Molecule: ribosomal RNA, 466 nt
Filed under: uncultured bacterium
Lineage: Bacteria
Description: bacterial SSU rRNA
Rfam family: Bacterial small subunit ribosomal RNA
Source: RNAcentral
CCUACGGGGGGGCAGCAGUAGGGAAUCUUCGGCAAUGGACGAAAGUCUGACCGAGCAACGCCGCGUGAGUGAAGAAGGUUUUCGGAUCGUAAAACUCUGUUGUUAGAGAAGAACAAGUAGGAGAGUAACUGCUCUUACCUUGACGGUAUCUAACCAGAAAGCCACGGCUAACUACGUGCCAGCAGCCGCGGUAAUACGUAGGUGGCAAGCGUUGUCCGGAUUUAUUGGGCGUAAAGCGAGCGCAGGCGGUCUUUUAAGUCUGAUGUGAAAGCCCUCGGCUCAACCGAGGAAGGUCAUUGGGAACUGGAGGACUUGAGUGCAGAAGAGGAGAGUGGGAUUCCACGUGUAGCGGUGAAAUGCGUAGAGAUCUGGAGGAAUACCGGUGGCGAAGGCGGCCCCCUGGACAAAGACUGACGCUCAGGUGCGAAAGCGUGGGGAGCAAACAGGAUUAGAUACCCGAGUAGUC